GACGUAGGGCGCGAGCGUUGUCCGGAUUUAUUGGGCGUAAAGAGCUCGUAGGCGGCUUGUCGCGUCGAAUGUGAAAACCCACGGCUCAACUGUGGGCUUGCAUUCGAUACGGGCAGACUAGAGGUAUGCAGGGGAGAACGGAAUUCCUGGUGUAGCGGUGAAAUGCGCAGAUAUCAGGAGGAACACCGGUGGCGAAGGCGGAUCUCUGGGCCGUAACUGACGCUGAGGAGCGAAAGCAUGGGGAGCGAACAGG
Molecule: ribosomal RNA, 253 nt
Filed under: uncultured bacterium
Lineage: Bacteria
Description: partial 16S ribosomal RNA
Rfam family: Bacterial small subunit ribosomal RNA
Source: RNAcentral